AGAGUUUGAUCAUGGCUCAGAAUGAACGCUGGCGGCGUGCUUAACACAUGCAAGUCGCACGAGAACGCUUCAGCUUGCUGAGGUUAGUAAAGUGGCGCACGGGUGAGUAACGCGUGGGUAAUCUACCCCCGAAUUGGGGAUAACAUUGCGAAAGUGAUGCUAAUACCGAAUAAUAUCCUGAAAAUAUUUGUUUUCUGGAUCAAAGAUGGCCUCUACAUGUAAGCUAUUGUUUGGGGAUGAGCCCGCGUACCAUUAGCUUGUUGGUAGGGUAAUGGCCUACCAAGGCGACGAUGGUUAGCUGGUCUGAGAGGAUGAUCAGCCACACUGGAACUGACACACGGUCCAGACUCCUACGGGAGGCAGCAGUGAGGAAUUUUGCGCAAUGGGGGAAACCCUGACGCAGCAACGCCGCGUGAGUGAUGAAGGCUUUCGGGUCGUAAAGCUCUGUCAAGUGGGAAGAAACCAUAUGGUGUUAAUAUCACCUUAUGUUGACGGUACCACUGAAGGAAGCACCGGCUAACUCCGUGCCAGCAGCCGCGGUAAUACGGGGGGUGCGAGCGUUAUUCGGAAUUACUGGGCGUAAAGAGCGCGUAGGCGGUCUUUUAAGUCAGGUGUGAAAGCCCGGGGCUCAACCCCGGAAGUGCACUUGAAACUAUGAGACUUGAGUAUGGGAGAGGGAAGUGGAAUUCCUGGUGUAGC
This 699-nucleotide ribosomal RNA is filed under the name uncultured Desulfobacterales bacterium. Its description in RNAcentral is "bacterial SSU rRNA". It matches the Rfam family "Bacterial small subunit ribosomal RNA", at positions 8 to 679 of the family's 1533-position model. The record is from RNAcentral. Lineage: Bacteria; Pseudomonadati; Thermodesulfobacteriota; Desulfobacteria; Desulfobacterales.